UACGGAGGGUGCUAGCGUUGUCCGGAAUCAUUGGGCGUAAAGGGCGCGUAGGUGGCCCGGUCAGCGUGCGGUGAAAGCUCGGGGCUCAACCCCGAGUCGGCCGUGCGAACUGCUGGGCUCGAGCACUGUAGAGGCAGGCGGAAUUCCGGGUGUAGCGGUGGAAUGCGUAGAGAUCCGGAAGAACACCGGUGGCGAAGGCGGCCUGCUGGGCAGUGGCUGACACUGAGGCGCGACAGCGUGGGGAGCAAACAGG
RNAcentral lists this ribosomal RNA (253 nucleotides) under uncultured bacterium. RNAcentral describes it as "partial 16S ribosomal RNA". It matches the Rfam family "Bacterial small subunit ribosomal RNA", at positions 524 to 776 of the family's 1533-position model. The record is from RNAcentral.